CCGAGUUUACAACUCCCAAACCCAAUGUGAACGUUACCAAACUGUUGCCUCGGCGGGAUCUCUGCCCCGGGUGCGUCGCAGCCCCGGACCAAGGCGCCCGCCGGAGGACCAACCAAAACUCUUAUUGUAUACCCCCUCGCGGGUUUUUUUAUAAUCUGAGCCUUCUCGGCGCCUCUCGUAGGCGUUUCGAAAAUGAAUCAAAACUUUCAACAACGGAUCUCUUGGUUCUGGCAUCGAUGAAGAACGCAGCGAAAUGCGAUAAGUAAUGUGAAUUGCAGAAUUCAGUGAAUCAUCGAAUCUUUGAACGCACAUUGCGCCCGCCAGUAUUCUGGCGGGCAUGCCUGUCCGAGCGUCAUUUCAACCCUCGAACCCCUCCGGGGGGUCGGCGUUGGGGAUCGGCCCUGCCUUGGCGGUGGCCGUCUCCGAAAUACAGUGGCGGUCUCGCCGCAGCCUCUCCUGCGCAGUAGUUUGCACACUCGCAUCGGGAGCGCGGCGCGUCCACAGCCGUUAAACACCCAACUUCUGAAAUGUUGACCUCGGAUCAGGUAGGAAUACCCGCUGAACUUAAGCAUAUCAAUAAGGCCGGAGGAA
RNAcentral lists this ribosomal RNA (591 nucleotides) under Trichoderma harzianum. Its description in RNAcentral is "eukaryotic LSU rRNA". The stretch from base 202 to 355 matches the Rfam family "5.8S ribosomal RNA". Lineage: Eukaryota; Fungi; Ascomycota; Sordariomycetes; Hypocreales; Hypocreaceae. The record is from RNAcentral.